This 253-nucleotide ribosomal RNA is filed under the name uncultured bacterium. RNAcentral's name for it is "partial 16S ribosomal RNA". It matches the Rfam family "Bacterial small subunit ribosomal RNA", at positions 524 to 776 of the family's 1533-position model. The record is from RNAcentral.
UACGAAGGGGGCUAGCGUUGCUCGGAAUUACUGGGCGUAAAGGGCGCGUAGGCGGCACUGUUAGUCAGGCGUGAAAUUCCUGGGCUCAACCUGGGGACUGCGCUUGAUACGGCAGAGCUUGAGGAUGGAAGAGGGUCGCGGAAUUCCCAGUGUAGAGGUGAAAUUCGUAGAUAUUGGGAAGAACACCGGUGGCGAAGGCGGCUCUCUGGACCGGAUCUGACGCUGAGGCGCGAAAGCGUGGGGAGCAAACAGG